CAUCUCUUUAUGAUUAAAAUAAUAAGUUGACUCUGCCCAAUGAAAUUUAAAUGGCUGCAGUAUUUUAACUGUACAAAGGUAGCAUAAUAAAUUGUUUUUUUAUUGAAAACUAGAAUGAAGGAGGUGAUGAAAUAUAUACUUUAUUAAUUUAAAAUUUUGAAUUUUAUUUUAGAGUUAAAAAGCUUUAAUUUUUUUAAGGGACGAGAAGACCCUAUAGAAUUUUAUAUAAAUAUUAUAAAUUAUAUUAAUAUUUAUAUUUAUUUGGGAGGAAUAUUAAAUUUUUAAACUUUAAUUAAUUAACACAUUUAUAAAUGUAUUAUAUUGAUUUUUUUAAAAAAAAAUUAAAUUAAAUUACCUUAGGGAUAACAGCGUAAUAUUAUUUUAUAGUUCUUAUUGAAAAUAGUGUUU
RNAcentral lists this ribosomal RNA (408 nucleotides) under Epyris sp. RNAcentral describes it as "partial large subunit ribosomal RNA". Lineage: Eukaryota; Metazoa; Arthropoda; Insecta; Hymenoptera; Bethylidae. The record is from RNAcentral.